AUAUAGUGUAGUGUCACAUUUGAAAGCAUUGGUUAAAGUAUCGGCAAAUGAAGAGUCACGACACAUAUACCAAGCGUCGGUAAAAUAUAUUCUGACACUUUAAAGUGUCAGGAUAUUUUAAAAUUCUGACGCUUUAAAGUAUCGAAAAAUUAAAAAGAAUAGUUAAGUUUAUGAUUUAAUAUAUUGGUUUGAUACAUAUAGGAUUCAUAUGUUGAUGCUUUCUGAAACAUCAGUAUUUGCUAUAUUGUAGGGACGCUUGCUGCAAGCAUCAUCUUAAAAACGUGCUUAU
Molecule: long non-coding RNA, 289 nt
Filed under: Ananas comosus (pineapple)
Lineage: Eukaryota; Viridiplantae; Streptophyta; Magnoliopsida; Poales; Bromeliaceae
Description: long non-coding RNA (ACOM_LNC006936)
Source: RNAcentral